This 1502-nucleotide long non-coding RNA is filed under the name Macaca fascicularis (crab-eating macaque). RNAcentral's name for it is "lncRNA (ENSMFAG00000054243.1)". Lineage: Eukaryota; Metazoa; Chordata; Mammalia; Primates; Cercopithecidae. The record is from RNAcentral.
UUUUUUUUUUUUUUUUUUUUUUCCUGGCACACAGCUACCUCCAUUUCUCAGGGUUUUCUGCAGUUGGGUGCAGCUAUGCGGCUGAAUUGCGGAAUCUGGGCAGAAGUCUGGCUCAUAACUGCCGCACAGUCCUGUCCCCUCUGUUUCUAGUGACUGAGGAAGAUGAGUGGACGCUUGAGUGUGACGGGAUAGCAGCCGGCCCUCAGUGACUGCAAGGGGCAGAGCUCCCUCUAAUGAUUCCUAGUAUGCUGCAAACCACAUGAGAUACAAAAAUGCAUAGUAGAAAGCUAAGCCACUGAGACUUCAGGAUCGUUUUCACAGCUAUUAGUUGACCUUACCUAAUGGAGAAAGUGAUACUGCAAGUGUGGUGCUUCUGCAAAAAAGUCAAAAAAUAAGAAAUCAAAAUCUUGAGAGGUCAAAAAUAAGAAAACUGUUGUAGGCUUUUUAAAAAUGGUGGCCUUUUGGGUACGUGAUUAAAAUAUUUGGUUAAAUGAUCAUUUUUUGUAACCUAUUAAACCUACAGCCCUAGGGAAAAAAGUUGGAAAACAAAAUGUUAAUAGUGUGUUUUGGCUCCUGUUAGCCAGGUUUCCAUAGGUGUUACAAGAAAUAAUUGAGAUGAGUAAAGAUGAGUUAGUUUUCAAAGAACUAAAAAGAGAGUCCAGAAAUGUGGGGUUUGGCUAAGUUGAAAAAGCUGGCUGUUGCCAUAUAGAUUCCAAACAGAAAAAGAUGAGGCAGGAUUGUGCCUGAUAAAAUCCCUUCGAUACUCAGUCUGGUGAUAAAGAUCCAACUAUUGUUUAUCUUCCACACAGUUGUUUCAGAUCAUCUUAAGGUGGCCGCUAUUAAAAGUAAAAGCCCUGGAAGUGAGGAAGCAUUAGAACAAUAUGUUAGAAGAACUUUCGAUAUUGUUACUAGGACACAGAGUGGAAGCCUAUUAAACUCUUGAGAAAUUUGUAUUGCCAAAAAAAAAAAAAAAAAAAGUUGAGCUGGAUUACAUUUAAACAAAUAAACCAAAACAAAAUGUAAAAACAGCACAAUGACAAUCGAAUAGCAUCUAUUGGAUGUGACAAUAUAGGUGGCAGUGGUGAAUUAUUAGUGAUAUUUUGGUCAAAUGAGAGGUAAUGGAAGUCAGAAUGCAGCUUUGAUUUAGCAAUUUAAGAUUGGUGAAGUAAAGAACUACAGAGAGAGAACAGACAAUUCCUUUGAUAAUUUUGACUGUGAAAGAAAAGUGGGUAUAUGUUGAAAUGAGGUAAGGGAGAGUUUUAUUUUUGCUCAUGUUUUUGUUACAUAAGAUCAGGCAAUUUGAGCAGAAUCAAAAACUGAAUGGUAUAUUCCUAUAGAGAAGCAGUUUGAAGUUAUAGAAUAUUAAAAAGUAGAAAUUACCAACUAGGGCAAGAAAGCAGCUAUGCAAAUAGAGAAGUUCUGGUCUCAGACAUGAGGAGGAACACAUUAUGUGCAACACCCACAGAAGGACAUUGCAAACCAUUUAGUCCUGAAGUAUCUAA